AUCAAUAAGUUGUAUUUUUAAGAUAAAAUUCUCAAAAAUUCUAUUUUAGGAAAGUUUUAUUUUUAUUGAGAAAUAUUGUAGAUUUGGGGUUCUGAUUUAGAAAUUAGAACAACGAGAAUUUUUGUUGAUAAAUGAGCAUUCUUUUAAAAGUUUUGAUCAAUAGGUUGUAUGUUUUAGAUAAAAUUCUCAAAAAUUCUAUUUUUAGAAAGUUUUCAUUUUUAUAGAGAAAUAUUGUAGAUUUGGGGUUGUGAUUUAGAAUUUUGGAUAACAAGAAUUUUUGUUGAUAGAUGAGUAUUCUUUGAGGAUUUUUGAUCAAUAAGUUGUAUUUUUAAGAUAAAAUUCUCAAAAAUUCUAUUUUAGGAAAGUUUUUAUUUUUAUUGAGAAAUAUUGUAGAUUUGGGGUUCUGAUUUAGAAAUUAGGAUAACAUGAAUUUUUGUUGAUAGAUGAGUAUUCUUUUAGAUUUUUUGAUCAAUGAAUUUUUGUUGAUAGAUGAGUAGGAAAGUUUUAUUUUUAUUGAGAAAUAUUGUAGAUUUGGGGUUCUGAUUUAGAAAUUAGGACAACAAGAAUUUUUGUUGAUAGAUGAGUAUUCUUUUAAAAGUUUUGAUCAAUAGGUUGUAUAUUUUAGAUAAAAUUCUCAAAAAUUCUAUUUUUGGAAAGUAUUCAUUUUUGUGAAUAAUAGUGUGGAUUUGGGGUUUUGAUUUAGAAAUUAGGAUAACAAGAAUUGUUUGUUGAUAGAUGAGUAUUCAUUUAGAUUUUUUUGAUCAAUAGUUGUAUUUUUUAAAUAUAAUUCUCAAAAGUUCUAUUUUAUGAAAGUUUUCAUUUUCUAUAGAAAUAUUGUAGAUUUAGGGUUCUGAUUUAGAAAUGAGGAUAACAAUAUUUUUUGUUGAUACAUCAGUAUUUUUUAGAUUUUUUUUAUCAAUAGGUUGUAUAUUUUAGAAACAAUUUCAAAAAUUCUAUUUUUAGAAAGUUUUCAUUUUUAUAGAAAAAUAUUGUUGAUUUGGGGUUGUGAUUUAGAAUUUUGGAUAACAAGAAUUUUUUUUGAUUGAUGAGUAUUCUAUAAGGAUUUUUGAUCAAUAGGUUGUAUUUUUUAGAUAAAAUUCUCAAAAAUUCUAUUUUAAGAAAGUUUUUAUUUUUAUUUAGAAAUAUUGUAGAUUUGGGGUUCUGAUUUAUAAAUUAAGAUAACAAGAAUUUUUGUUGAUAGAUAAGUAUUCUUUUAGGAUUUUUGAUCAAUAAGUUGUAUUUUUUAGAUAAAAUUCUCAAAAAUUCUAUUUUAGGAAAGUUUUUUUAUUUUUAUUGAGAAAUAUUGUAGAUUUGGGGUUCUGGUUUAGAAAUUAGUACAACAAGAAUUUUUGUUGAUAGAUGAUCAUUCUUUUAAAAGUUUUGAUCAAUAGGUUGAAUAUUUUAGAUAAAAUUCUCAAAAAUUCUAUUUUUGGAAAGUUUUCAUUUUUAUAGCGAAAUAUUGUAGAUUUGGGGUUGUGAUUUAGAAUUUUGGAUAACAAAAUUUUUUGUUGAUAGAUGAGUAUUCUUUGAGGAUUUUUGAUCAAUAAGUUGUAUUUUUAAGGUAAAAUUCUCAAAAAUUCUAUUUUAGGAAAGUUUUUAUUUUUAUUGAGAAAUAUUGUAGAUUUGGGGCUCUGAUUUAGAAAUUAGGACAACAAGAAUUUUUGUUGAUAAAUGAGCAUUCUUUUAAAAGUUUUGAUCAAUAGGUUGUAUAUUUUAGAUAAAAUUCUCAAAAAUUCUAUUUUUGGAAAGUUUUCAUUUUUGUGAAUAAUAGUGUGGAUUUGAGGUUUUGAUUAAGAAAUUAGGAUAACAAGAAUUGUUUGUUGAUAGAUGAGUAUUAUUUUAGAUUUUUUGAUCAAUUUUUUAAAUAUAAUUCUCAAAAAUUCUGUUUUAGGAAAGUUUUAUUUUUCUAAAAAAAUAUUGUAGAUUUGGGGUUGUGAUUUAGAAAUUAAGAUAACAAUAUUUUUAGUUGAUAGAUGAGUAUUUUCUUUAGAUUUUUUGAUCAAUAGGUUGUAUAUUUUAGAUAAAAUUCUCAAAAAUUCUAUUUUUAGAAAGUUUUCAUUUUUAUAGCGUAAUAUUGUUGAUUUAGGGUUGUGAUUUAGAAUUUAGGAUAACAAGAAUUUUUGGUGAUAGAAGAGUAUUCAUUGAGGAUUUUUGAUCAAUAAGUUGUAUUUUUAAGAUAAAAUUCUCAAAAAUUCUGUUUUAGGAAAAUUUUAUUUUUAUUGAGAAAUAUUGUAGAUUUGGGGUUCUGAUUUAGAAAUUAGGACAACAAGAAUUUUUGUUGAUAGAUGAGCAUUCUUUUAAAAGUUUUGAUCAAUAGGUUGUAUAUUUUAGAGAAAAUUCUCAAAAAUUCUAUUUUUGGAAAGUUUUCAUUUUAUAGAGAAAUAUUGUAGAUUUGGGGUUGUGAUUUAGAAUUUAGGAUAACAAGAAUUUUUGUUGAUAUAUAAGUAUUCUUUAAGGAUUUUUGAUCAAUAAGUUGUAUUUUUAAGAUAUUAUUCUCAAAAAUUCUAUUUUAGGAAAGUUUUCAUUUUUUUGUAGAAAUGUUAUAGAUUUGAAGUUGUGAUUUUGAAAUUAGUAUAACAAGAAUUUUUGUUGAUAGAUGAGUAUUCUUUUAAAAGUUUUGAUCAAUACGUUGUAUAUUUUAGAUAAAAUUCUCAAAAGUUCUAUUUUUGGAAAGUUUUCAUUUUUGUGAAUAAUAGUGUGGAUUUGGGGUUUUGAUUUAGAAAUUAGGAUAACAAGAAUUGUUUGUUGUUAGAUGAGUAUUCUUUUAGAUUUUUUAUCAAUUGUUGUAUUUUUUGGAUAUGAUUCUCAAAAGUUCUAUUUUAGGAAAGUUUUCAUUUUCUAUACAAAUAUUGUAGAUUUGGGGUUGUGAUUUAGAAAUUAGGAUAACAAUAUUUUUUGUUGAUAGAUGAGUAUUUUUUUAGAUUUUUUGAUCAAUAGGUUGUAUAUUUUAGAAAAUUUUAUUUUUGGAAAGUUUUCAUUUUUAUAGCGAAAUAUUGUAGAUUUGGGGUUGUGAUUUAGAAUUUAGGAUAACUAGAAUUUUUGUUGAUAGAUGAGUAUUCUUUUAAAAGUUUUGAUCAAUACGUUGUAUAUUUUAGAUACAAUUCUCAAAAGUUCUAUUUCUGGAAAGUUUUCAUUUUUGUGAAUAAUAGUGUGGAUUUGGGGUUUUGAUUUAGAAAUUAGGAUAACAAGAAUUGUUUGUUGUUAGAUGAGUAUUCUUUUAGAUUUUUUGAUCAAUUGUUGUAUUUUUUGAAUAUAAUUCUCAAAAGUUCUAUUUUAGGAAAGUUUUCAUUUUCUAUA
Molecule: long non-coding RNA, 3297 nt
Filed under: Brassica napus (rape)
Lineage: Eukaryota; Viridiplantae; Streptophyta; Magnoliopsida; Brassicales; Brassicaceae
Description: long non-coding RNA (BNAP_LNC018688)
Source: RNAcentral